UACGUAGGGUGCAAGCGUUAAUCGGAAUUACUGGGCGUAAAGCGUGCGCAGGCGGCUUUGCAAGACGGAUGUGAAAUCCCCGGGCUUAACCUGGGAACUGCAUUUGUGACUGCAAGGCUAGAGUACGGUAGAGGGGGAUGGAAUUCCGCGUGUAGCAGUGAAAUGCGUAGAUAUGCGGAGGAACACCGAUGGCGAAGGCAAUCCCCUGGACCUGUACUGACGCUCAUGCACGAAAGCGUGGGGAGCAAACAGG
Molecule: ribosomal RNA, 253 nt
Filed under: uncultured bacterium
Lineage: Bacteria
Description: partial 16S ribosomal RNA
Rfam family: Bacterial small subunit ribosomal RNA
Source: RNAcentral